RNAcentral lists this ribosomal RNA (244 nucleotides) under uncultured Actinomyces sp. RNAcentral describes it as "partial 16S ribosomal RNA". It matches the Rfam family "Bacterial small subunit ribosomal RNA", at positions 796 to 1041 of the family's 1533-position model. The record is from RNAcentral. Lineage: Bacteria; Bacillati; Actinomycetota; Actinomycetes; Actinomycetales; Actinomycetaceae.
CAUGCUGUAAACGUUGGGCACUAGGUGUGGGGAUCGUUGUGGUUUCUGCGCCGUAGCUAACGCAUUAAGUGUCCCGCCUGGGGAGUACGGCCGCAAGGCUAAAACUCAAAGGAAUCGACGGGGACCCGCACAAGCGGCGGAGCAUGCGGAUUAAUUCGAUGCAACGCGAAGAACCUUACCAAGGCUUGACAUGCACCGGUACAGUGUAGAGAUAUGCUGGCCUUUUUGGCUGGUGUGCAGGUGG